Molecule: ribosomal RNA, 405 nt
Filed under: bacterium
Lineage: Bacteria
Description: partial 16S ribosomal RNA
Rfam family: Bacterial small subunit ribosomal RNA
Source: RNAcentral
UGGGGAAUCUUGCGCAAUGGGCGAAAGCCUGACGCAGCAACGCCGCGUGGGGGAUGAAGUCUCUCGGGUUGUAAACCCCUUUCAGCAGGGACGAAUCAAGACGGUACCUGCAGAAGAAGCCCCGGCUAACUACGUGCCAGCAGCCGCGGUAACACGUAGGGGGCAAGCGUUUUCCGGAUUUAUUGGGCGUAAAGAGCUCGUAGGUGUAUGAGUAAGUCGGAUGUUAAAUCCCCAGGCUCAACCUGGGACACCACCCGGUACUGCUCUGGCUAGAGUCCGGUAGGGGAGAGUGGAAUUCCUGGUGUAGCGGUGAAAUGCGCAGAUAUCAGGAGGAACACCAGCGGCGAAGGCGGCGCUCUGGGCCGGUACUGACACUGAGGAGCGAAAGCGUGGGUAGCAAACAGG